Molecule: long non-coding RNA, 623 nt
Organism: Leopardus geoffroyi (Geoffroy's cat)
Lineage: Eukaryota; Metazoa; Chordata; Mammalia; Carnivora; Felidae
Exons: 3
Source: RefSeq, a predicted model, not a curated record
UUUAAAAGUCAACAAAUCACAAUCCCCUCCUUGAAGAGUACAGAAUAUAGUAGUGGUGGUGGACAUUAAAAAAAAAAAAAAAAAAGUAAAUCUAAAUAAACUUUAUUUUAAAAAUAAGUAUGUAUUUUUAUAAUGAAAGCUCAAAGACACACAAAAGGAGAUAGAGUUCAAUAAACUCUCAUUCUCACCAUCCUGAUUCAAUAAUUACCAGGAUUCUGCUACAUUUGUUUCAUUUACUCUCCCUUUUUUCUCUGAUGUAUUUUACUUUUUUUUUUAGUAAUCUCUACACCCAACAUGGGGCUUGAACUCACAACCAAGAUAGAGGUGCACGCUCCUUUGACCGAGCCAGCCAGGCGCCCCAAUGCUGAUGUAUUUUCAAGCCAAUCCUAGACAUGUCAUCUUGCUUCUAUAUACUUGGAUACUGUACCAAGAAGCACCAAGCACACUACUUAAUAAACACAAGAAAGAGGAAAAAAAAGUAAAGAACACACUAAGCAUCUGCAGAUUACAAGAUCACCUUCAAUUUAAUUAGGGGAGGAAAACUGGUAUUCAAAAUAGACAGUUUCCAACUUUACCCGAUUACAUACCACAAAUUUUCAGCGGUGCUUCCAAUUCCAAAAGAA